This 563-nucleotide ribosomal RNA is filed under the name uncultured archaeon. RNAcentral's name for it is "bacterial SSU rRNA". It matches the Rfam family "Archaeal small subunit ribosomal RNA", at positions 313 to 879 of the family's 1478-position model. The record is from RNAcentral.
GCGAUUCGCCCUUCGGGGUGCCCAGGCGCGAAAACUUUGCAAUACACGAAAGUGUGACAGGGUCAUCCCGAGUGCCGACCGCUGAGGUUGGCUUUUACCCAGUCUAGAAAGCUGGGGGAAUAAGGAGAGGGCAAGUCUGGUGUCAGCCGCCGCGGUAAUACCAGCUCUCCGAGUGGUGUGGACGUUUAUUGGGCCUAAAGCAUCCGUAGCUGGCUGAACAAGUCCCCUGUUAAACCCACCGAUUUAAUCGUUGGUCUGCGGGGGAUACUGCUCGGCUAGGGGACGAGAGAGGCAGACGGUAUUCCCGGGGUAGGGGUGAAAUCCUAUAAUCCCGAGAAGACCACCAAUGGCGAAGGCUGUCUGCUAGAACGCGCCCGACGGUGAGGGAUGAAAGCUGGGGGAGCGAACCGGAUUAGAUACCCGGGUAGUCCCAGCUGUAAACGAUGCAGACUAGGUGUUUGGACGGCCACGUGCCGUUCUAGUGCCGCAGGGAAGCUGUUAAGUCUGCCGCCUGGGGAGUACGAUCGCAAGAUUGAAACUUAAAGGAAUUGGCGGGGGAGCAC